RNAcentral lists this ribosomal RNA (1369 nucleotides) under uncultured bacterium. RNAcentral's name for it is "bacterial SSU rRNA". It matches the Rfam family "Bacterial small subunit ribosomal RNA", at positions 28 to 1381 of the family's 1533-position model. The record is from RNAcentral.
GACGAACGCUGGCGGCGUGCCUAAUACAUGCAAGUAGAACGCUGAAGAGAGGAGCUUGCUCUUCUUGGAUGAGUUGCGAACGGGUGAGUAACGCGUAGGUAACCUGCCUUGUAGCGGGGGAUAACUAUUGGAAACGAUAGCUAAUACCGCAUAACAAUGGAUGACACAUGUCAUUUAUUUGAAAGGGGCAAUUGCUCCACUACAAGAUGGACCUGCGUUGUAUUAGCUAGUAGGUGAGGUAAUGGCUCACCUAGGCGACGAUACAUAGCCGACCUGAGAGGGUGAUCGGCCACACUGGGACUGAGACACGGCCCAGACUCCUACGGGAGGCAGCAGUAGGGAAUCUUCGGCAAUGGGGGCAACCCUGACCGAGCAACGCCGCGUGAGUGAAGAAGGUUUUCGGAUCGUAAAGCUCUGUUGUAAGUCAAGAACGGGUGUGAGAGUGGAAAGUUCACACUGUGACGGUAGCUUACCAGAAAGGGACGGCUAACUACGUGCCAACAGCCGCGGUAAUACGUAGGUCCCGAGCGUUGUCCGGAUUUAUUGGGCGUAAAGCGAGCGCAGGCGGUUUGAUAAGUCUGAAGUUAAAGGCUGUGGCUCAACCAUAGUUCGCUUUGGAAACUGUCAAACUUGAGUGCAGAAGGGGAGAGUGGAAUUCCAUGUGUAGCGGUGAAAUGCGUAGAUAUAUGGAGGAACACCGGUGGCGAAAGCGGCUCUCUGGUCUGUAACUGACGCUGAGGCUCGAAAGCGUGGGGAGCGAACAGGAUUAGAUACCCUGGUAGUCCACGCCGUAAACGAUGAGUGCUAGGUGUUGGAUCCUUUCCGGGAUUCAGUGCCGCAGCUAACGCAUUAAGCACUCCGCCUGGGGAGUACGACCGCAAGGUUGAAACUCAAAGGAAUUGACGGGGGCCCGCACAAGCGGUGGAGCAUGUGGUUUAAUUCGAAGCAACGCGAAGAACCUUACCAGGUCUUGACAUCCCGAUGCUAUUUCUAGAGAUAGAAAGUUACUUCGGUACAUCGGUGACAGGUGGUGCAUGGUUGUCGUCAGCUCGUGUCGUGAGAUGUUGGGUUAAGUCCCGCAACGAGCGCAACCCCUAUUGUUAGUUGCCAUCAUUCAGUUGGGCACUCUAGCGAGACUGCCGGUAAUAAACCGGAGGAAGGUGGGGAUGACGUCAAAUCAUCAUGCCCCUUAUGACCUGGGCUACACACGUGCUACAAUGGUUGGUACAACGAGUUGCGAGUCGGUGACGGCGAGCUAAUCUCUUAAAGCCAAUCUCAGUUCGGAUUGUAGGCUGCAACUCGCCUACAUGAAGUCGGAAUCGCUAGUAAUCGCGGAUCAGCACGCCGCGGUGAAUACGUUCCCGGGCCU